GGGCUUGAACGCGCAUCGGAAGUCGCUUACAUGACGCCCCGUCAGCUUGCUGACUAUGGCGAUAAACGGCGCGUGGAAUAAACGUUGUGGACCCGGGGGCAGUGCCCGGCGCCUCCACCAGUUUCCCCGGAUAUCCGGGAUCAUGGGGGCGAAACAGGCUCGACACGCGUAGUAAAGACCCGCUCUUUGCUCGGCAUUGUACCGCCGUUAUCGGGCUAACACACAAGUGCCAACGAUAAUGAGGCGCUCGCUGUCGCUGCAUAAGCGAUAAGCGCGGUUCGGGGGGCACCGGGCAACAGAAGCCCCCCAAU
This 311-nucleotide transfer-messenger RNA is filed under the name Rhodopila globiformis. RNAcentral describes it as "Alphaproteobacteria transfer-messenger RNA". It matches the Rfam family "Alphaproteobacteria transfer-messenger RNA". Rfam says of the family: Bacterial tmRNA, also known as 10Sa RNA or SsrA, is named for its dual tRNA and mRNA-like properties. Its role is to liberate the mRNA from a stalled ribosome. The record is from Rfam by way of RNAcentral. Lineage: Bacteria; Pseudomonadati; Pseudomonadota; Alphaproteobacteria; Acetobacterales; Acetobacteraceae.